Molecule: ribosomal RNA, 253 nt
Filed under: uncultured bacterium
Lineage: Bacteria
Description: partial 16S ribosomal RNA
Rfam family: Bacterial small subunit ribosomal RNA
Source: RNAcentral
UACGAAGGGGGCUAGCGUUGCUCGGAAUCACUGGGCGUAAAGCGCACGUAGGCGGAUUGCUAAGUCAGGGGUGAAAUCCUGGAGCUCAACUCCAGAACUGCCCUUGAUACUGGCGGUCUCGAGUCCGGGAGAGGUGAGUGGAACUGCGAGUGUAGAGGUGAAAUUCGUAGAUAUUCGCAAGAACACCAGUGGCGAAGGCGGCUCACUGGCCCGGUACUGACGCUGAGGUGCGAAAGCCAGGGGAGCAAACGGG